CUGAAAUAUGAAAGUAAAAUUCCCAGUUUGAGAGAUAUACACAUUGCCAUGUACAAGCAUGAUUAUUGGGCUUAUACCAUUGCAACAAAUUUGAUGCCUGUAAUACUUUGUGAGUCCCGUGAAGAUGCCAAUAUGGAUAAUGUCAUCGGUGGUGAAGAAGGUAGCGAUUUCCGUCAAGCUAUGUACAC
Musca vetustissima is the source of this 188-nucleotide long non-coding RNA. RefSeq lists it as uncharacterized. The record is from RefSeq and is a predicted model, not a curated record. The transcript is spliced from 2 exons. NCBI's taxonomy places the organism in Eukaryota, Metazoa, Arthropoda, Insecta, Diptera, Muscidae.